RNAcentral lists this long non-coding RNA (2267 nucleotides) under Coffea arabica (coffee). RNAcentral describes it as "long non-coding RNA (CARA_LNC005111)". Lineage: Eukaryota; Viridiplantae; Streptophyta; Magnoliopsida; Gentianales; Rubiaceae. The record is from RNAcentral.
GAUACAACCAAAGGAAUAACAUACAACAAUCCAAAACUUAAGUGAAACUUAUAUAUACAUUGCUAUCUCAAAAGGAAGUACAACCAUCGAAUGUACAAAGGUUCUCACUUCACCAUACAACCAGCCCGUGCCAAGCACUAGGACGAGAACUAUUACAAAAACAAAGAGCUAGACCAAGCUAGUCUAUACCAAGCUCUCAUCCUUGCGUGCCUUCCCCUGUUAAGGAAAACAAACUAAAGGGGUGAGCUAAAAGCUCAGUGAGAUUCUGUAUACAAAAGCAAGUAAUUGAACAAGGACAUUCAUCAUGUAACAACAAAUAAUCCAGAAAACAUGUCCAAUAUAAAGCAAUGAUAAUACAUUCAUUAAAAGGAUACGGGCUCACAAGGAGCUAUUUGUUCGUUCGUUCGUUCCCUUGACAUUUCCCCUUAUUCCUCCAAUUAUUUGAAAAUUUCCUUUUUGAGAAAUAAAACCCUCGUGCCUGCGUUCGUUCAUUCAUCCCUUUCCGGACGUUGGCCGGAUUCCACCCAUCCGGACGUUGGCCGGACUCCACCCAUCCGGACAUGGCCGGACUACAAGGUAAUACUCGAGUAUACCAAAUUCACUCAGGUCACCAUAUCGCCCGACCGAGUCCGCUUCUGGCUCGAGUCGAUCGGUAACAAGGACAAGGGCCCAGUUCAGCCAAAAGGCUUACAUUCAUGCGCAACUAGUAUUUCAACAUUUAAUCACCAAAAUUUUCAUUUUUAUUUAGGUCGAGUGCGAUAAAGUACACACUCACCUAGCAAAAAUUCAUUUUAGAAAUCAUAGAAAACAAUUAACAUUUAAUCAAAUAUUCACAAAUAAUCACAUAGUCACAACAAUCCUCAUAGUCAUAGAAACAAAACGUAUAUGGAACACUCACCUAUUUAAGCAAAAUAAUGUCCAAAGUAUCCUUCCGGAUAACACUCUCAAUCGCCAAGAAACCCUAAUAAUAGCCAAGAGAAAAUAUUACAGUUAAACCCCUCCAAAGUUUAAGUAAACUAUAGAAAAUCCAAAUAACUAUUAGUACAAAGUAUAAGUAUAAUCUUCUAGUCCUCGAGCGUAAAUUUCGGCAGCAUGCCCUUUGUGUUUACCUAAUUUUCCAGUCAUUUUGGCUUCCUUCUUCUACUCAAUCCAGCCCAAAGUCAUACAUAUCAUAGAUUCAAGUAAAUAGCCAUUCCAUAGGCUCAUAACAACAUAAGAACAAAAAUCAAGUGAUAACAAGUGCGGGAAUGAAGUUACAAAAGACAGAUUUGACGUGUGGUUGCGGAAAGAACACAUCUGAGGCUACGCUUAUCGGAUUAGUAUGUAACUUAUACCGUUUCGAAGCUAAGACCAAGUCCUACAACUUCCAUGAAGAGCACUUAGUCAAAUUUUCAGGGUAACCUAAUCAAAUUCCCAGUUCAUAUAACCUGGUUCCAACUAUUAUGCUAAUCAACCGUACUGAAUUCAAAUGACCAUAUCUCAGUCUACCAAGGUCCAUUUGAGACGUUCUUGGUAGCGUUGAAAAGCUAAGACAAGGUAAUAAAACUUUCAUGUUUUGGAAAAAGGCUAAAUCAGUACGGAUCCUAGUGAAUAAACAUGAUAAACUGGAUAAACUGACCAAACGGACUAUUGGAAAAAACCUUAAAAUAGUGAGGGUAUUUUGGUCUUUUCACAGGCUACAUUGCUCCGAUUGAUCUGAAAUUUUAUAGGCACCUAUAAAAUAUCAUUCUCUACAACUUUCAUGUUUUAUGCCAAGCCCAAUUCGGCCUCUAACAUGGUGCAACAAAAACGGACAGAAGUGAAACAUGAAAUUCCAGAAAUCUGGAAAUUUUGGUUUUCAAUUGAACUCUCUUCAAUUCCUUGUUCCAAUCACUACCAAAGCCCCUUGUAUAAUCUUAUUUUCAACAUAUAGUAACCAUAUAGCAAGUUUGGGCAGAAAUGUAUCAAAUCCUAACUCACUUAUAUCAUCUAAAAAACAUCACAACAACUUGUAUAACUUGUAAUCUAACCCAAAACAUGAACUAUUUAACAUCUUAAACAAGAGUAAAAUGAUCAAAGCCAUAGAUCAGAUUUUAUACCUCAAAAAAGAAGGCUUGCAAGAGUGAUCCUCUACUAUUUCUUGAAGUUUUUGGUUCCCUUAGCUUCCCAAGCUUCCAAACUUACAAUCAAUCGGUUUAGAAUUCGAUUUUAGCACUUGGUUGGUGUAAAUCAAGAAGAAAUUUGUUUUCUCUUGCUCUCCCUUUCUCCCUCUCUUGCUCAGCCAAGAU